GGGGACGAGUGGUUUCGACAGGGGAGGAGCGCCACAGGAUUGCAGGCCGAGGUGCCAUCCACCUCGUAAAACAGGUGGCAAAAAAGUAACUGACAACUACGUCUACGCUAGCUAAGCUGGACACGUCCCCUUCGCCUCCCUCGAUGGGCGGGGGUGGGCGACGAGAAGUCGAGGUGCGGCAGUCCAGAGGUCGAUAAGGGUUGCCCAAGAUGUUAUCGACUGGCUCAACCGGACUCGGUCGGCAGAGGAAGGUUGGGUGAGAGCAAAGAGCCGACUAAGCCUGUAGCAUAUUCUGGGUGGACCUCCUCUGGACGGGGAGUUCGACUCUCCCCCGUCUCCACCA
RNAcentral lists this transfer-messenger RNA (343 nucleotides) under Dehalococcoidia. Its description in RNAcentral is "E44-bin26 sp004376075 Standard tmRNA". It matches the Rfam family "transfer-messenger RNA". Rfam says of the family: Bacterial tmRNA, also known as 10Sa RNA or SsrA, is named for its dual tRNA and mRNA-like properties. Its role is to liberate the mRNA from a stalled ribosome. RNAcentral also lists the same sequence under 2 other names. Lineage: Bacteria; Bacillati; Chloroflexota. The record is from RNAcentral.